AUUGAACGCUGGCGGCAGGCCUAACCCAUGCAAGUCGAGCGGAGCGGCGGACGGGUGAUUAAUGACUAGGAAUCUGCCUGGUAGUGGGGGAUAACGUCCGGAAACGGGCGCUAAUACCGCAUCCUAUCAGAUGAGCCUCGGUCGGAUUAGCUAGUUGGUGGGUUAAAGGCCUACCCAGGCGACGAUCCGUACCUGGUCUGAGCGGAGGAUCAGUCACACUGGAACUGCGACACGGUCAAGACUGCUACGGGAGGCAGCAGUGGGGAAUAUUGCACAAUGGGGGAAAGCCUGAUGCAGCCAUGCCGCGUGUAUGAAGAAGGCUUUCGGGUUGUAAAGUACUUUCAGCGGGGAGGCGUUAACCGCAGAAGAAGCACCGGCUAACUCCGUGCCAGCAGCCGCGGUAAUUC
RNAcentral lists this ribosomal RNA (407 nucleotides) under uncultured bacterium. Its description in RNAcentral is "partial 16S ribosomal RNA". It matches the Rfam family "Bacterial small subunit ribosomal RNA", at positions 30 to 526 of the family's 1533-position model. The record is from RNAcentral.